This 22-nucleotide non-coding RNA is filed under the name Mus musculus (house mouse). Lineage: Eukaryota; Metazoa; Chordata; Mammalia; Rodentia; Muridae. The record is from RNAcentral.
UCAGCCUCGGAGUCCAGCAUCC